CGGUACGACAUUGCUCACAUUGCUUCCAGUAUUUUUGCCCGCACUUGUGCGGGCUUUUUUUU
This 62-nucleotide non-coding RNA is filed under the name Klebsiella indica. Lineage: Bacteria; Pseudomonadati; Pseudomonadota; Gammaproteobacteria; Enterobacterales; Enterobacteriaceae. The record is from RNAcentral.